RNAcentral lists this unclassified non-coding RNA (430 nucleotides) under soil metagenome. RNAcentral's name for it is "partial contains 5.8S ribosomal RNA, internal transcribed spacer 2, and large subunit ribosomal RNA". The stretch from base 3 to 120 matches the Rfam family "5.8S ribosomal RNA", at positions 37 to 154 of the family's 154-position model. The record is from RNAcentral.
GCUGAAGAACGCAGCGAAAUGCGAUACGUAAUGUGAAUUGCAGAAUUCAGUGAAUCAUCGAAUCUUUGAACGCAUAUUGCGCUCUCUGGUAUUCCGGAGAGCAUGCUUGUUUGAGUAUCAGUAAACACCUCAACUCCCUUUUCUUUUUUGAAAUUGGAGCUGGACUUGAGUGAUCCCAACGCUUUCUUCCAAGAAAGUGGCGGGUUGCUUGAAAUGCAGGUGCAGCUGAACUUUUCUCUGAGCUAUAAGCAUAUCUAUUUAGUCUGCCUAAAAAACAGAUUAUUACCUUUGCUGCAGCUAACAUAAAGGAGACUAGUUCUUGUGCUGACUGAUGCAGGAUUCACAGAGACAGCUUCGGCUGACUUUGUAAACUCGAUCUCAAAUCAAGUAAGACUACCCGCUGAACUUAAGCAUAUCAAUAAGCGGAGGA